AUUGAACGCUGGCGGUAUGCUUAACACAUGCAAGUCGAACGGUAGCAGGCCUUCGGGCGCUGACGAGUGGCGGACGGGUGAGUAACGCGUAUGCAACCUACCCUGUACAGGGGGAUAACCCGGAGAAAUUCGGACUAAUAUCCCAUAAUAUUAUUGGAAGGCAUCUUUUGAUAAUUAAAGUUCCGGCGGUACGGGAUGGGCAUGCGUAACAUUAGCUGGUUGGUAAGGUAACGGCUUACCAAGGCUUUGAUGUUUAGGGGUCCUGAGAGGGUGGUCCCCCACACUGGUACUGAGACACGGACCAGACUCCUACGGGUGGCUG
RNAcentral lists this ribosomal RNA (322 nucleotides) under uncultured Bacteroidota bacterium. RNAcentral's name for it is "bacterial SSU rRNA". It matches the Rfam family "Bacterial small subunit ribosomal RNA", at positions 30 to 351 of the family's 1533-position model. Lineage: Bacteria; Pseudomonadati; Bacteroidota. The record is from RNAcentral.